This 253-nucleotide ribosomal RNA is filed under the name uncultured bacterium. RNAcentral's name for it is "partial 16S ribosomal RNA". It matches the Rfam family "Bacterial small subunit ribosomal RNA", at positions 524 to 776 of the family's 1533-position model. The record is from RNAcentral.
UACGAAGGGGGCUAGCGUUGCUCGGAAUCACUGGGCGUAAAGCGCACGUAGGCGGCUUUUUAAGUCAGAGGUGAAAUCCUGGAGCUCAACUCCAGAACUGCCUUUGAUACUGAGAGGCUUGAGUCCGGGAGAGGUGAGUGGAACUGCGAGUGUAGAGGUGAAAUUCGUAGAUAUUCGCAAGAACACCAGUGGCGAAGGCGGCUCACUGGCCCGGUACUGACGCUGAGGUGCGAAAGCGCGGGGAGCAAACAGG